AAUUGGAAGUUCUUCCAAUAACUGGAGGAUGUUCAUCUCUUGAAAAGCUUCGCAUUUGCGAUUGUGAAAAAUUAAGCAAGAUUGGAGAUGGAUUAUCUACCUCCACUUGUCUCAAAGAAUUAGAUCUAGCAGAUUGUCCUGAUUUAAGUUCGAUCCCAAAUUUGGAAGGAUUUUCCUCUCUUCAAUAUCUGUCAGUUCGAUGUUGCAAGAAAUUGGAAGUUCUUCCAAUAACCGGAGGAUGUUCAUCUCUUGAAAAGCUUCGCAUUUACGAUUGUGAAAAAUUAAGCAAGAUUGGAGAUGUAUUAUCUACCUCCACUUGUCUCAAAGAAUUAGAUCUAGUCAAUUGUCCUGAUUUAAGUUCGAUCCCAAAUUUGGAAGGAUUUUCCUCUCUUCAAGAUCUGUCAGUUUGGAGGUGCCUCAAAUUGGAAGUUCUUCCAAUAAC
RNAcentral lists this long non-coding RNA (442 nucleotides) under Gossypium barbadense (sea-island cotton). RNAcentral's name for it is "long non-coding RNA (GBAR_LNC015176)". Lineage: Eukaryota; Viridiplantae; Streptophyta; Magnoliopsida; Malvales; Malvaceae. The record is from RNAcentral.